UGGGGAAUAUUGCGCAAUGGGCGAAAGCCUGACGCAGCGACGCCGCGUGAGGGAUGAAGGUUUUCGGAUCGUAAACCUCUGUCAGAAGGGAAGAAAUUAUAUCAUGCUAAUCAGUGGUGUAUUGACGGUACCUUCAAAGGAAGCACCGGCUAACUCCGUGCCAGCAGCCGCGGUAAUACGGAGGGUGCGAGCGUUAAUCGGAAUUACUGGGCGUAAAGCGCACGUAGGCUGUAUGACAAGUCAAGGGUGAAAUGCCACGGCUCAACCGUGGAACUGCCUUUGAAACUGUCAAACUGGAGUAUGUGAGAGGGCGGCGGAAUUCCUGGUGUAGGAGUGAAAUCCGUAGAUAUCAGGAGGAACAUCAGUGGCGAAGGCGGCCGCCUGGCACAAAACUGACGCUGAGGUGCGAAAGCGUGGGUAGCAAACAGGAUUAGAUACC
RNAcentral lists this ribosomal RNA (439 nucleotides) under uncultured bacterium. Its description in RNAcentral is "bacterial SSU rRNA". It matches the Rfam family "Bacterial small subunit ribosomal RNA", at positions 355 to 786 of the family's 1533-position model. The record is from RNAcentral.